Molecule: long non-coding RNA, 438 nt
Organism: Uranotaenia lowii
Lineage: Eukaryota; Metazoa; Arthropoda; Insecta; Diptera; Culicidae
Exons: 2
Source: RefSeq, a predicted model, not a curated record
CUUACGGUGUUUGUUUUGGUGCGCCGGCAAAAUUUUUUUUCGCGGCUAUCCAGCAGGUUUAUCAGAUACAAUUUGUACGCCAGGGCAUUCUUAUUUGCUGGAAUGCAAAAUCCCAGUGGAAUUAUUGUUCAACAGGUUGUGUUACCGGAACUUCCCAUAGUUUUGCUCCGUGGGAGAGAGAUCGUCUUCAGCUACAUACAAGGAUCGACUUUUUGGUCACUUGAUGAAAGGUGGAAAUAAUUGGCCCAUUAUUAUGGCGAUUUCAUCCAUGCAGAAUCUCUACGGACCACACACGGACAUGAAUGAUGCUGGCGCUGAAAUUAUCUACAGGAGGUGCUGUUCGACAGGAUGAAGCAAAAUGAAAAGGCCCAGCUGCAUGGAACAAGUUUUUUUUGGUAAUAUGAACUAAGUUAUUUAAUAAAAUAAUUAAAAUUAAAA